CCUUCCUUCCACCAUGAGAAAAAGGACAUGUUUGCUUCUCCUUCUGCCAUGAUUCUUCUGGGAGCCUUCUGCAUUCCUUGGUUUGGGUCCCUUUCCUCCAUCUUCAAAACCAGUCUAAUAGCAUUUUCAUAUCUCUAUGAUACUAAUUCCCUCUUUUUUUAGGCAUAAACAUAUUUUCAUUGAAAAUCGUAAAGAAUUGAGAAGGAAAGGAGCCUGAAAUUUUAAAUGGAGACUUCUCUCUUGCUGGCUUAGGUAAAGCAAGUCCCACAUGGCAAAGAACUAAGGGACAGACAAUAAGAAACAAGCCCUCAGCUCAACAAGCCACAAGGAAGUGAAUUUGCCAACAACCAAGUGAGCUUGGGAGCAGAUCCUUCCAUAGUCAAGCUUUGAGACAAAACUGCAACCUGGAUUGACCCCUUGACUGCAACUUUGCAGAGAACAACUAAAUUAUGUCCUUGCUGUUGAUCCACAGGAUUCUGUGUUGCUUUAAACUACUGUUUGUGGUAACAUUGUAACACAAAAAUACAUAACCAAAACCAUUUACAUGGUGCUUACUAUACGUCAGGCACUAUUCCAAGAGUUUACUCUUUUAAUCUACAUAACUCAAGGAUAUAAUUAAUCUCAUUUUAUAAAUAAAGAAGAGAACACAGAGCUUAAAUAACUUGUCAAAGUUCACAGAGCAAGCAUCUCUAAUCAACAUAUAUAAUAAUAUGCUUCUUUGUAAAAAUAACAUUUUAUUAAUGAAAUGGAGUUUAAUAGGCCUGUAUGCUACCCACAUCUGAAUUCCACUGACGUAUUUUCUCACAAAUAUUUUAUACCU
This 820-nucleotide long non-coding RNA is filed under the name Pongo abelii (Sumatran orangutan). RNAcentral's name for it is "lincRNA". Lineage: Eukaryota; Metazoa; Chordata; Mammalia; Primates; Hominidae. The record is from RNAcentral.